This 541-nucleotide unclassified non-coding RNA is filed under the name Hevea brasiliensis (rubber tree). The record is from RNAcentral. Lineage: Eukaryota; Viridiplantae; Streptophyta; Magnoliopsida; Malpighiales; Euphorbiaceae.
ACCAGCCAACACCAAAGCUAAUGACAGGAAAUGCAAACUGAUUGAGCCUUAAAAUUCAAUAUGAAGGAACAAAUAAUUAAAUAUACUUAAGUUAAUGCAUUCAUCAAUAUUUUUAGUAAGUUUACUAGCUCUUAGGGGCUUAAGUGCCAAACAACAACAAAAUCAGAAAGAUGAGGGCCAAAUGGCUCCACUCUUAACGAGGAGUAAGAUCUGAAAGAACAAACACAAACAAACUGAUAUAGCACAAUAUAAAUAACGUAAUUCUACUUAACAGCCCCUGCUCAUGGCAAGGAGAUAAAGUAAGCUUCAACAAGAUAUAAGAGGAUUACAGGACACCCAAUUAUAUGCCCCAGUUACCCAGUCUUUGCACUGACUUCUUCCUUAAAACCCCAAAGAAUUCUCAUACACAUCUCCACCUAAAUAACCCACCAAAAAAAGGAGACAAUAUUCUUAACAUCACAAUUCCAACAUUCCGAUAAUUAGUAAGAGUUUCUGUGCCUCUGCUUCGAUUUCAUGGGCCAUCUUGCUGUAGAAACUCUUA